Molecule: long non-coding RNA, 1331 nt
Filed under: Anas platyrhynchos platyrhynchos (common mallard)
Lineage: Eukaryota; Metazoa; Chordata; Aves; Anseriformes; Anatidae
Description: lncRNA (ENSAPLG00000019974.1)
Source: RNAcentral
GUGUGACACCCGUGGGGCCCCCACAUCGCUCCCCAUCAUGUGUCUGUGUCCCCCCCCCCAGGCACCGAGUGCUGCUGCUGCUUGGCGUGGGAGCGCGGCAGCUCGCGGCGCUUUGUGUGCCCGCUGCUCCCGGCACUGCCAACACCUGCGCCCGGUGCCACCACCGGCAUCCCACACCCGGCACCACGCAUCGCGCCCCGGUGCUGCGCUGUGGGUGCCGUGUGGGUGCCGUGUGGGUGCCGUGCCGUGCCCCCCGUGUGGGUGCCGUGCUGUGCAGCCUGCCCCGGGUCUGCGAUGUGCAUCCCGCGUGGGUGCCGUGCUGUGCCUCCCGCGUGGUUGCAGUGACGUGCAGCCCGUGUGGGUGCCGUUCUGUGCAUCCCGCGGGGGAGCUGUUCUGUGCAGCCCCUGUGGGUGCUGUGACGCGCAUCCCGCGGGGGUGCCGCGCUCUGCAUCCCACCUCAGAGGCACGGAGCGCAUCCAGUGCUCGCCCCUGCGCCCUGCAUCCUGCCUCGGGCCCCGUGCACAUCCCUGUGCUGGCUCCCCCCCAACCAAAACACCACAGACAGGAGCCCCUCAUCCUCCCGGGACCCCCAGCCUCCAGCCCCAAACUCAGCACAACCACGGCAGCCGGAGCCCUGUGAGCCCCCUGUGCCUGCUGCCAGCCCAGUGCCACGUCCCCCAGCCUGGCCGGCACGGUGCUGGCAGCUGGGGGGCAGGGGCCAAGGGCCCACAACACACCCCGGUGCAGGUGACGGCACUGAGCUGCCCCCACCACCCCCGCACUGUGGCUCUGCCACGAAAUAUUAAAAAGCAGCAAGCAAGAAGCACAAAAGCUUCUCGCCCUCCUGCUCUGGCCAGCAGCCGAAUUGCUGGGAAGCGUGGACCCAAUCCUCCUGGCUGGUGCGUGGCGGGGGGGGGGGGCAGAGGACAGAAAAAGUUCAUUUAUUAGGUUAUUGCACGUCCCCCCCCUGCCCCUUCUUGUGCACCAGCAUCCUGCCCCCCCGAACCCCCAGCAUCUGCCUGGUUGGAGCACCCCAGCUCAGAGCACCCGCUGUGCCCGGACGAUGACUGCACCCCAACACCCCGGGGUGUCCCUUGGGGGGAGCGCACCCUGGUGCCUUGGGACUCCCCGUGCCCCCUGUAGGUCAUUGCACCUUGCAGGGAGCCCGAGCACCCAGCCUCAUGCUGCACCCUAAUGCUUUGGGGCACCCCCAUGCACCCAGCCACACACUGCUCCCCAGCGUUUUGGGGCUCCCCAUGCCCCCAGCCAGGCACCGCACCCCCAGCCCCGCGGCGCAGCACUCACGUUGACGAUGGCCUCCUUGGUCUGC